RNAcentral lists this ribosomal RNA (69 nucleotides) under Vibrio cholerae. Its description in RNAcentral is "partial 16S ribosomal RNA". The stretch from base 1 to 60 matches the Rfam family "Bacterial small subunit ribosomal RNA", at positions 1474 to 1533 of the family's 1533-position model. The record is from RNAcentral. Lineage: Bacteria; Pseudomonadati; Pseudomonadota; Gammaproteobacteria; Vibrionales; Vibrionaceae.
ACUGGGGUGAAGUCGUAACAAGGUAGCGCUAGGGGAACCUGGCGCUGGAUCACCUCCUUACACGAUGAU